This 253-nucleotide ribosomal RNA is filed under the name uncultured bacterium. Its description in RNAcentral is "partial 16S ribosomal RNA". It matches the Rfam family "Bacterial small subunit ribosomal RNA", at positions 524 to 776 of the family's 1533-position model. The record is from RNAcentral.
UACGUAGGGGGCCAGCGUUGCUCGGAAUUACUGGGCGUAAAGGGUUCGUAGGUGGUGCGGCAAGUCGGAAGUGAAAUCUCUGGGCUUAACUCAGAGGCUGCUUUCGAAACUGCCGUGCUCGAGUGCGGGAGAGGCCAGUGGAAUUGCAGGUGUAGCGGUGAAAUGCGUAGAUAUCUGCAGGAACACCCGUGGCGAAGGCGGCUGGCUGGACCGCAACUGACACUGAGGAACGAAAGCUAGGGGAGCAAACAGG